CAAACUUGGAGAGCUGUUUUCUCAUUUCAUGUACACUUGCCCCAAAUUGUAGUUUUUGAAGUCAUGUGCAUUGCACGUUGGAUGAGCCAGGGAAAUUAUUACAUUAACAAGCAUUUUGUGUGUAUGUAGUAGUUACUUUGUACUGAGAGAACUUGCUUUGGGGUGCAAUUAAACAAUAAACUGAUUUUAUUUGGGAGAAACAGGGAAGGGUGC
This 213-nucleotide long non-coding RNA is filed under the name Homo sapiens (human). Its description in RNAcentral is "LHRI_LNC647.1". The record is from RNAcentral. Lineage: Eukaryota; Metazoa; Chordata; Mammalia; Primates; Hominidae.